Molecule: ribosomal RNA, 465 nt
Filed under: uncultured bacterium
Lineage: Bacteria
Description: partial 16S ribosomal RNA
Rfam family: Bacterial small subunit ribosomal RNA
Source: RNAcentral
CCUACGGGCGGCUGCAGUGGGGAAUAUUGCGCAAUGCGCGUAAGCCUGACGCAGCGACGCCGCGUGAAUGACGAAGGCCUUCGGGUCGUAAAGCUCUUUCGACAGGGAAGAAAAGGCAUGUAAGUAACCGGCUAUGUAUUGACGGUACCUGUAAAGGCAGCCCCGGCUAACUCCGUGCCAGCAGCCGCGGUAAUACGGAGGGGGCGAGCGUUGAUCGGAGUGACUGGGCGUAAAGGGCACGUAGGCGGUAUUGUAAGUCAUUAGUCAAAGACUAGAGCUCAACCUUAGAAAUGCUAUUGAUACUGUCAUACUUGAGUAUCAGAGAGGAUUGCGGAAUUCCUGGUGUAGCGGUGAAAUGCGUAGAUAUCAGGAGGAACACCGUUAGCGAAGGCGGCAAUCUGGCUUGUAACUGACGCUGAGGUGCGAAAGCGUGGGUAGCAAACAGGAUUAGAUACCCGAGUAGUC